This 42-nucleotide transfer RNA is filed under the name Gnidia cf. anomala Johns s.n. Its description in RNAcentral is "transfer RNA-Leu (UAA)". Lineage: Eukaryota; Viridiplantae; Streptophyta; Magnoliopsida; Malvales; Thymelaeaceae. The record is from RNAcentral.
AAAAUCCUUCCGGCUCCUGGGGUUCAAGUCCCUCUAUCCCCA